Molecule: non-coding RNA, 73 nt
Organism: Trichonephila inaurata madagascariensis
Lineage: Eukaryota; Metazoa; Arthropoda; Arachnida; Araneae; Nephilidae
Source: the annotation of a GenBank genome assembly
AUCUCUGUAGCGCAAUUGAUACCGCGUUAGACUUCUAAUUUAAAGGUUGUGGAUUCAAAUCCCACCUGGGUUG